GACGGAGGGUGCUAGCGUUGUUCGGCAUUACUGGGCGUAAAGGGCGCGUAGGCGGCCUGUUAAGUCGGGUGUGAAAGCCCGGGGCUCAACCCCGGAACGGCACCCGAGACUGGCGGGGUUGAGACCGAGAGAGGAGAGUGGAAUACCCAGUGUAGAGGUGAAAUUCGUAGAUAUUGGGUGGAACACCAGUGGCGAAAGCGGUUCUCUGGCUCGGUUCUGGCGCUGAGGCGCGAAAGCGUGGGGAGAAAUCAGG
This 253-nucleotide ribosomal RNA is filed under the name uncultured bacterium. Its description in RNAcentral is "partial 16S ribosomal RNA". It matches the Rfam family "Bacterial small subunit ribosomal RNA", at positions 524 to 776 of the family's 1533-position model. The record is from RNAcentral.